AUCGCGAACGCGCAGCCAUCCCCGCGAGCAGGGCGCGGGCGCGGCGGGCUCUUACCUCAGUUUCGGCAGCGAUCAGGAUGUUUGGCUGCGUCCGAUGGCCGGAGGCCCAGCCACCAGCAACCUUGGACUGCUCGCCCGCCGUCGUCGAGGCCGCGCUUUGCGCCUGCACGCGAAGAUCCUAGACGGAGCGCCUGUCGGCUCAUCGCGCAUGCGCGGUGCCUCCGCGCUUGGCAGCUUGCGGAGACAUCGGUCCACAUGUUAACGUGGUGCGGUACCUGAAACGGUUCAUCAUUUUGGAGUUUCUUGCCAGUACCGCGACGUCACCGUAUCUGUUGCACGGCACGGUGGGUGUGAAGAGACGAACACCGAAGCCCAAAAACUUACUCACAUCCCAAUCGUGCAAAAGUGCAAGGCCUAAAAAGAAAACAGCACCGUCAACUGUCAGUCAUCAGACACCAAGUCCUUCCAUGACUUAUAAAAAAUGAAGGGUACAUGAUGCUCAUUCAUUCACGUUUGAAUCUACACCCCCCCCCCCCCCCCCACUAACGUUCACAAUUUACAUAAUUUACAAAUAAUAAAAAAAAAUCAGGACGUUUGCCACCCAUCCUAUACUGUCUGUACUCCUCACAGAAAAUAUUCAAAAGCAACUUACUGAUGACAAACCAAGAUUCAAUAUAUUUAUCUGCCACAUGUGCCAUUUUUGACUCAUUACGGUCCACUUGACACCAAGAAUGUAAAUGAAUUAUAAACAAGUGCAAUAAAAGAAAGAGGCUAUGUACAGUACG
Syngnathus acus (greater pipefish) is the source of this 785-nucleotide long non-coding RNA. RefSeq lists it as uncharacterized. The record is from RefSeq and is a predicted model, not a curated record. The transcript is spliced from 2 exons. Lineage: Eukaryota; Metazoa; Chordata; Actinopteri; Syngnathiformes; Syngnathidae.